RNAcentral lists this ribosomal RNA (339 nucleotides) under uncultured bacterium. RNAcentral's name for it is "SSU rRNA". It matches the Rfam family "Bacterial small subunit ribosomal RNA", at positions 26 to 380 of the family's 1533-position model. The record is from RNAcentral.
AGAAUCAACGCUGGCGGCGUGCCUAACACAUGCAAGUCGAACGAGAAAGUGGAGCAAUCCAUGAGUAAAGUGGCGCACGGGUGAGUAACACGUGACUAACCUACCCUUGAGUGGGGGAUAACCUAGGGAAACCUGGGCUAAUACCGCAUAAUACCUUCGGGUCAAAGGAGCAAUUCGCUUAAGGAGGGGGUCGCGGCCGAUUAGUUAGUUGGCGGGGUAAUGGCCCACCAAGACUGUGAUCGGUAUCCGGCCUGAGAGGACGACCAGCCACACUGGAACUGAGACACGGUCCAGACACCUACGGGUGGCAGCAGUCGAGAAUUUUCACAAUGGACGAAA